RNAcentral lists this transfer RNA (67 nucleotides) under Disogmus areolator. RNAcentral describes it as "tRNA-His". Lineage: Eukaryota; Metazoa; Arthropoda; Insecta; Hymenoptera; Proctotrupidae. The record is from RNAcentral.
AUUUAAAUAGUUUAUUUAAAAUUUUAAUUUGUGAAAUUAAAGAUAUAAUUAUUAAUUAUUUUAAAUA